GUUGAAAUGACAAGUAGUGCACUCUAGUAUAUGGCAAUCUUGUAGAGAGUAAGCAAUGGAUUCCCAGCUACUUGGGACAUGGGAGGUUGUUUCAUGCACUCCUCGCCAGACUGGACUGGUGGAAAACACUGGUGUUGAUGGGACCCGCUUUUGCCUGGAUGAGAGUGGUGAUGUUACGUGGACAGUUCCGGAUGACGCUGAGGCUAUACCUCUGUUUAACUGUGAAACAUAUGAAGUUUAUAAUUCACCUCCCAUGGGCGUUGUGAUAAGAUUCGGAGCGUAUGCGGGUCACGUCAUUGAGUUUCGGGUAGACCAUCCUGAUGGUCAGGAUACAAUGGUGCUGACUUGUGAUGCUUGGUGCAUGCUGCGGUGCAAACGUGUGGUGGAAUCUGACCCUGACCCACCUGGAGAUGCUCCAUUCUCACUGUUACCAGCUCUUGAGGAUGGCUAUUUUUCUGAUGUCUCCAUCACUGCCAGUAAUGGUCGCAUCUUUGCGGCACAUUCGUGUGUGCUCAAUUUGUCUGCUCCUGGGGUGGAUUGGGGGCGUCAAUUGGCUGGUCUUCCAGAGGAUGUAUUGGGCACUGUGCUACACUACCUGUAUUCAGAGUGCCUCCCAGCGAAUCUGGCAGAGGGCACUGCACGCCAGUGUGCUGUUGCCACCCACGCUCUGCCAGGCCUGCAACCUCUCGCUCGUCUCUGCGAUCUCUACCUCAAGAACAUGGCACUCAAGCAGCAAAUAAUUGGCCUAGUUUCCGACAUGCAUGCCAGUGCCAGUCAAAUCAUCGAACAUUUCAGCGCCAAAUCCUCCACAGGCGAGCAUUCUGCAGAUAGCCUUAAUUCUAAUCCGGCCAAAUUAUGUUUUGUUGUGAAGCAAUCUGUGAGAGAAGCUGCCGUAGCUGGUGCAAAAUUGUUGUUGCUUUGUGAUCUUUUCACAAAGCGCAAGGCUGAACUCUCACGUGAGGAACGGCAUGAAAUCAUCCGCUAUGCGAAGUCGCGGUUACCGGUUUUCAUGAGCCAGCUGCAACGUUUCCUGCAAGGUGUAAAAUCAACUUUCAGCAGUAUGUCACCCAGCCAGCGACAGGAAGUCGCUACUUAUCUUGUGCCUGAGAUUGAAACUAUUUUGGAUACUGUUUCUACACUAGUAGUACAAGUGAAAUCAGCCCUGGAACAUAUUAUAACUGUUCUUUCUCCAUCAGAAAACCCAAAAAGUCAGAAGGAAAAAGUUGGCGAAGUACUCACUAAAUCUUUGAAAAAUGUUUUGUACAGAAGAGAACUUAGCAAACUGAGAAAUUUUCAUCAGAGAAUAACUUUCAGUUUAGUUCAUCUUCUACAAAAGAAGGAGAGUUUCAAUGAAAUGACUAGUGCCAACAAAGUACGAUCUGUGGCUCGCAACCUGGAGCAGUUAAUAGAGGAACUGCCUAUAUUUCUUAUGAGGCUGGAAGAAGUAACAGCUGCCCUUGAUGAUAGAUUGGAAUGGCAUGAAUUCAAAUUUUGCUUUAAAGUUGGAACUUCCAAAGUGUCAGGGAUCCUGCAGCAGUUACUGACACAUCGUGAGACUUUGCAAGAAGUUAUGGUUCAGCUAUGUGACUUAGUGCAAAGGGAAGCAUUCACGAGAUCACUCUUCGCCCUUGAGCUCCUUGAUCCAGCUCAUUAUUCAGCAGAUCAUCAUAGUCAUCCAAGUGGGCAUUUUCACUCUACUCCCAAACAGCAUGGGUACAAGCUAAAUCUUGUGGAGUCAUUGUGUAUACCACCACUUUCUCGAAACAGUAGACUGUCUAAGGCUGCCGUCCAGUUACUGAGAUCGGGUCAGGACACUGACAUGGUCUUUGAAGUUGUCUCCUCUCCAGAUGCUCCAGAUUGUGUGAUAGAUCACACAGCUAGUCAGACAAAGCAGACUGCAGCUGAGGAGGGUAAUGAAACUUCAAGACAUGGUGGCAAGGAGAGGAGCAGGUCUGAAGAAGCACAACAAUCACCUUCCAGUGAGCCACAGCUACAGUUAUCACAGCCACAGCCACAGCCCGAACCUCAACAGUUAGAAGAACAGCCUGAGGAAGCGGCCAGUGUGAGGGCACACAGAGUUAUAGUUGCUGCUCGAUGUGACUGGUUUCGUCGGGCUCUCUUGUCUGGGAUGAGAGAAGCAAUUGAUAGGAAAAUAGUGGUUCAUGAUACAAAUCCAUUCCUUUUCUCAACAUUCCUUCACUACCUGUACAGUGGACAGUUGCGUACCCGAGAGCUGACUGCUGAUCAGUUAGCUGACCUUAUGCUUCUCAGUGAUCGAUAUGAGGUCGACUCAUUGAAACAAGCAUGCGAACAGGGAUUAAGAAGACACAUUGAUGAAGAUUCAGUGCUUUAUUUCCUGAGUAUGAGUGACCAAAUUAAUGCAAAAACUCUUCGGAGCGCCUGUUUAAACUUCAUCUCCUUGAAUCCUGACAUUAUGGAUAGUGAAUUAUUUGAAGAGCUGCCUCAAAACCUGCAGGCUGAGAUCUAUGAUCUAGUCAUAUGGGCUAAACCCAGGAAAUCACAAACAACUGAGAAGUUACUGCUUUUCCCACAUUGUCCUAGUCCUGAGACACCAACAUCUGUAUCAUCCAGUCUGGCUGAUAUAGAAGAAAUGGCUUCCAACAUUCAUAUUAACAGUCGUGAGGUAGAAGCAUCUGAUAGCAGUUCACUGGAGGAUCUUCCACUAACACAAGACUCUGCCCGUUUAGAAAGCUGCAUUGUGCAGCUGAGGGACAUAGUUGGUGAACAGGCAUCGCGUGAAGAACUUGUUCAGUUGGCGCUUGCUGCUGAUUAUGACAUCAACCGGGCUGCAAACUUCUACUAUUCAUCCUGAAGGUGGCAUCGAGGUCGCCCCUCCGUGAGGCGCACCUAAGGCAGUAUUUAGCAGUUGCUAUUGUCACUGGUUGUUGCCGUGAAGAAUGCUUCGUGCAGAACAGAACCUGCCUGCCAUCUUGGCUGUGAACUGGAGUGGAGCAAUCGAAAUCAGACGUCACGUUCCACAACAGUGGCUCUCAAAAUGCACUUCAAAGCCUUACCAGUUGUGACAUUUCCCUUAAAGUAUCUUCUUUGAAUGGCGAUGUCGUGCUUCGAAAGAAUGGAUUUCUUGUGAUUCUGCUGUAUUGUUACUGAAACGAGAUGGAAUGGAAACAGUGUUAAAGUAUCUGCUUUCAUGAAUACAGGCAGGCUUGAAGUUUGCAUAUUUUCCUGGUUAAGUUGGAGAUGCUGGUUGCCAUGAAAUGGUUUUUUAGCAGUUCAGUGGGCUGUUGGUAUCCAGAAAAUGAGGGCUUGCUCUGGGUGCCAGUGACAGGGUUUUUGCCAUUCAUUGUGACAUACUACGGAUUUCUCAUUUUGUUAAGAGGAAUUAUUUCUUAAGAACUGCAGUUUUUGUCUGGCUAGUCUCAAGCAUUUCUGAUAUGGAAGUGCACAGUAUUUUUAAAUUUUAUCAAGGUAUAAUAUUCUAAGCACUAUUUUUGCCAUAAUUCUUUAAGACUUUUGUCUGUCAUAAUAUAAAAUUUUGUGACUUUUUAGAAACUGUGCAAGAUUGUUCAGUGCAUGGUUAUGAUAAAUGGUCAUUAAGUUUAUUUACAUUUUAUGCAAUGAAAAUAUUUUAUUUAGUGACAUCACCUCAUUUUAUUUUAUGAAAGUAUUUUUAGAGGCAGAACUGUUUUAACACAUAACCAUAUUGUAAAUAUUUUCAUUGUGUACUGAACCCAGAAACCAUCUCAGACACACUAAUCAAUGCGACAAUCUGUCCAUUACUGAAAUGUGAGAUGUAAAAUUGUAUAAGUAAAUUGUUAUGUUGUGUAGAUGUCCUACACAUUUCAGUCUUUGCUUUUGAGAAAAUUCAGGAAAUUUUUCCAGUUUUGCAGAUUUGAGUGCCUUACUACAACAGAAAUGCUUUAAAAUCCUUUGAAUAUACUUAAUUUAACUCCAGCGCCAAUUUUCACUCAGUGUGUUAAUAAUCAUGUAUCUGGAAAACACUUUAAAUGUUUCUGGAAAUGAAAUUUUUCACAUGUAAGCUAUGUUCUUUAGUGCAGAAAAGUUACUUGUAUUGCACUGUUAGCUCUGAGUAAAUUUCAUCGUCGACUACCAAAAAAGUCUUCUUGCUCCUUACUGAUUUUUUAAAAAAUUUUGUAGAGCAUUUUAUAUUGUUGACUGUAUCUUGUUGAAAUCCAUAAGCAGAUUAAUAACAGUGCUGAGCAUAGUUCUAAUAAUACUAGGGCAUAAUGUCACUGGGAAAUAUUAUACACUUCAUAGCAAAUAGAG
This is an RNA transcript of Schistocerca nitens (vagrant locust), 4266 nucleotides long. RefSeq lists it as uncharacterized. The transcript has 19 exons. The record is from RefSeq and is a predicted model, not a curated record. Lineage: Eukaryota; Metazoa; Arthropoda; Insecta; Orthoptera; Acrididae.